This 417-nucleotide long non-coding RNA is filed under the name Ananas comosus (pineapple). RNAcentral's name for it is "long non-coding RNA (ACOM_LNC032233)". Lineage: Eukaryota; Viridiplantae; Streptophyta; Magnoliopsida; Poales; Bromeliaceae. The record is from RNAcentral.
UUAUUAUUAGGGUUAAAUGCAUUUAUAUUCCUGCAAACAUAGUAAAUUAUAAAUAUAUAUUUCUAUAAAGUUCAACGUUUAUAUAUUUUUUCUACAAAAGUUUUAAUAUUUUCAAAUAUGUUCAUCUAGUUUGUUACCAUUAUAAAACUAUUUAUAUUUUAAAUAAAAUGUCAAUUUUACCAUUACAAAUAUGUUCCUCCAAAAACCACAACAGUAUAAUAUAAGAGGAACAAAAAUAUCAAGUUAUCGUAUAAAUUAAUCAGAGUUAAGCAUUUAACCUAUCUGAAAAUAUUACGAUUUUUGUAAGGAUAAUAUAUAAAAGUUGAAUUUUGUAAGAAUAUACUUGUAAUUCACUUUAUUUCUAAAGAUCUGUAUAAAAUUAAUCAUUAUUAUUAUUAUUAUUAUUAUUAUUAUUAU